Pollicipes pollicipes is the source of this 502-nucleotide long non-coding RNA. RefSeq lists it as uncharacterized. The transcript has 3 exons. The record is from RefSeq and is a predicted model, not a curated record. Lineage: Eukaryota; Metazoa; Arthropoda; Thecostraca; Pollicipedomorpha; Pollicipedidae.
GUUGAGUCGUCUGUCGUUAACCAUGCGUCUGCUACCCUUGGUCGUCGUGUUUUGUCUGGUGCUGGUGGCCGCUGAAGGUGCCCGCUGCGGCCGCUUCGGGCAGGCGUGUGGGUUCUUCAAGAGGAAUGUCUGCCGCUGGUGCCCUGGCCGCAGGGAGCGGUCUCUGCUGCCUUCCUGGCGACACACAAAAGGAAUGCCAAGCUAAAUGCCAUAAACCGAAAAUUUGCACCACAAGAAGGGAUACUUGCCACAAGGGCUGGUGCUGCAUUGGGUGAACAGGACAACAUCGCGAGACAGAGUCAACUGCAUCACCGACCGCCGGCUGCUGCCGUCGACAGAAGAUGACUGGUGUUUGAGGCCACCCAGUGACUGUCAGGGCGUGACAUCCCCAUGUUUUCAAAUUCGUGGCCUUCUUGCAAGCCCGUGUAGAAUCCUUGACAUGCCUGCAUGUCGGAAUUACAUUCGGCGGCUUUUUAUAAGGUUCUGUACGAAAUACAAUAAU